Molecule: ribosomal RNA, 62 nt
Filed under: uncultured bacterium
Lineage: Bacteria
Description: partial 16S ribosomal RNA
Source: RNAcentral
UGGGCGAAAGCCUGAUCCAGCAAUGCUGCGUGAGUGAUGAAGGCCUUAGGGUGUAAAGCUCU